RNAcentral lists this long non-coding RNA (235 nucleotides) under Homo sapiens (human). Its description in RNAcentral is "non-protein coding lnc-SLC5A9-7:1". The record is from RNAcentral. Lineage: Eukaryota; Metazoa; Chordata; Mammalia; Primates; Hominidae.
GGUCAUGAGAAUCUAUCCAUCUGAUACUAUGAAAUAUAUAUUUGGUCUUCAUCCCCCUCCAAAGGACUGUCUUUUUGUAUGCCAAUACUGACUGAUAGCUUCAGGAUGGGCCUGGUCACUGGAAAGACAAGAGUAUGAUUAGAGUUGGGACUUGCAGCACCCCCCACAAACUCUAGGAGGAGAGAGGAGUGGAGGGUCAAGUUGAUCACCAAUGGCCAAUGGUUUAAACAAUCAU